GAUGAACGCUGGCGGCGUGCUUAACACAUGCAAGUCGAACGGAAAGGCCCAAGCUUGCUUGGGUACUCGAGUGGCGAACGGGUGAGUAACACGUGGGUGAUCUGCUCUGCACUUCGGGAUAAGCCUGGGAAACUGGGUCUACUACCGGAUAGGACGAUGGUUUGGAUGCCAUUGUGGAAAGUUUUUUCGGUGUGGGAUGAGCUCGCGGCGUAUCAGCUUGUUGUUGGGGUAAUGGCGUACCAAGGCGUAGACGGGUAGCCGGCCUGAGAGAGUGUACGGACACACUGGAAUCGAGAGACGGGCCGGAGUGCUACGUGAGGCAGCAGGGGCGAAUAUUGGACAAUGGGCGCAAGCCUGAGGGAGGGAGGCCGCGUGGUGGAUGAGGGCCUUUGUGGUGAAAGCACAUCAGGCUAUGGACGAAGCGUUGUUGUGACGGUACCUGGAGAAGAAGCACCGGCUAACUACGUG
Molecule: ribosomal RNA, 468 nt
Filed under: uncultured bacterium
Lineage: Bacteria
Description: partial 16S ribosomal RNA
Rfam family: Bacterial small subunit ribosomal RNA
Source: RNAcentral